Molecule: long non-coding RNA, 970 nt
Organism: Malaya genurostris
Lineage: Eukaryota; Metazoa; Arthropoda; Insecta; Diptera; Culicidae
Exons: 3
Source: RefSeq, a predicted model, not a curated record
GGGCCAAACAUUGUUGAUUUCGAAUAACAGACCGUAGUUGCCAAUGUUGUUCUGUUGAAAAAUAAAAAUAAUCUUGAAUAGUACCGAAAUUGUGAUUGUGCUAACCGAAAAAUGACUAUCAACAAUAUUCCAGGUUACCCGUUCGUAAGUCGAACAAGUACAACCCACCAAGUUCUAGCAAACUAGAACUUCAAAAUGUUCCGGAAAGCGAACUGGAAAUUCCAGCAUCAAUCCGAAAGUAUUUUUGAACGAAAUUUUUUUUGCGCGAUCGACAUCGAGUCGGAUUCGAACCUUUUGAUACUCGCCGGAGCGGAAGGAUAGGAUUAAAAGUGAUUUUUUGCAAAUCAUCCACUCAUGAAGUCUAUUCGAACUAUGCCGGGACGGUCGAUCCGGGACUAUUCGGGACGUUUCAUUUCCUCGUCGGGGAUGACUGAGCUGCCGGCGUGUGCAUAUAUUGGAAUAACGAAUUCGACGUAAAAUCCAUUUUGUUGCCACCGAUAUCCCUCGCCGAGUUUUCGCACCGUUGGCACCAAGAAAAACUCGGCGUCCCGGAUCGACCGGCCCAGCAUAGUGCAAAUAGACUUUUAUCCUAGAAUACCUUUCCAGCUACUUGAAUUUUGUGAACGAAGAUAGUUUACCCCAUUCAUCCAACACGUUUAUUUUAAAUAAAUAAAGUGUCUGUAAUCAAGCCAACUCCACAUUUUAUUUCAUUUAUUAAAACAAUUACUUUAUAUUUUUGAAUGCAUUAAUUGAAAAGAUAAAAUGAAAAUUGGGGCUUGUAGUUUCUUGUAACGCAUAGACCAUAUUUUUACUGUAAUGUAAUCGAUGUUUUUAAUUUGGAUGUCUAUGAGCGAUCGCCGUUAUGUCAGACGUAUCAAAACUUUCCGUAUGGAGUACCAAACCAGAAGACAGUGAUAUAGCUGACGUCUGAAGCAUAAAUAAACUGAUUUUACAGCAGUGGAAUAGGCUA